AGUUUUAUUUUUUCUCUUUUAGCCGAUAUAUAUAUAUUAUGAAUUAGGGUUUAAGAAGACGACGUUGGGAUAUCCAAAUUUCUGGCGGCAGACCAACAAUAUGUCGAAGAAGAACAGUCUUUCGCGCAGGAAGAAACAAUAUGAAUUCGACCUUCAAAGGGAGAAACAAGAAAAGGAAAAGGCUGCUAAGAAGCUUCAAGCAAAGAAGAAUAGUAUGAAAGUUGAUGGUAGUGGAAAGAAAAAGAAGGGUGGAGGUGGAUUUCAAGUUGGGAAGAAAAAAGUGAAGACCAAGUUGACGGCAACAGCAAAAGCAAAAGCUUCUCAAGCUAUGGAGCUUGAUAAAUGAGGUUGGCAAUGGGUGCAGAGGCUGAAUCUUCAGGGUACCAUUAGCCCUUCGUUUUGGAGAAAAUCUGGUGAAAUGCAUUGGCAUUAUUUGAACUCAAGUAGUUUAUCAUUGAAGAUCCAAUUCGUCUCAUUCUUUUAGAUCUCAGUCCCUUUCUUGUAAUCUAAUUCGAGUAGUACUCAUUUGAUAUUUUUCCUUCUGUUUAGCAUGUCCUUGUACAUUAUUUCAUACUUUUCAAUGAAAGCUCCACUUUUUUGUCAAGAAAACAUAUGGCUUAUGGGUUUUAUAUUGAGCUUGCGUGUUCAUAUCCAA
Long non-coding RNA from Cucumis sativus (cucumber), 655 nucleotides. RefSeq lists it as uncharacterized. NCBI's taxonomy places the organism in Eukaryota, Viridiplantae, Streptophyta, Magnoliopsida, Cucurbitales, Cucurbitaceae. The transcript is spliced from 4 exons. The record is from RefSeq and is a predicted model, not a curated record.